RNAcentral lists this transfer RNA (70 nucleotides) under Loxodonta africana (African savanna elephant). It matches the Rfam family "tRNA". Rfam says of the family: Transfer RNA (tRNA) molecules are approximately 80 nucleotides in length. Their secondary structure includes four short double-helical elements and three loops (D, anti-codon, and T loops). Further hydrogen bonds mediate the characteristic L-shaped molecular structure. tRNAs have two regions of fundamental functional importance: the anti-codon, which is responsible for specific mRNA codon recognition, and the 3' end, to which the tRNAs corresponding amino acid is attached (by aminoacyl-tRNA synthetases). tRNAs cope with the degeneracy of the genetic code in two manners: having more than one tRNA (with a specific anti-codon) for a particular amino acid; and 'wobble' base-pairing, i.e. permitting non-standard base-pairing at the 3rd anti-codon position. The record is from Rfam by way of RNAcentral. Lineage: Eukaryota; Metazoa; Chordata; Mammalia; Proboscidea; Elephantidae.
GCAUUGGUGGUUCAGUGGAGAAUUCUUGCCUUCCAUACAUAAGACCCAGAUUCGACUCCCAGCCAAUGUG